AAAAUCAGUUUGAUAAUCGCUUUUUAAAAGAGGAAAGUCCGAACUCCGCAGGACAAAACACCUCCUAAUAAGAGGGUCCUAUAUAUUUAGGAAUGGAAAGUGCAGCAGAAAGUAAACCGCCUGUAAAGGUAAGGGUGAAAUGGUGGUGUAAGAGACUACCAGUGAUAAUCGCAAGAUUGUUAGCUAUGUAAACCCUGUUUGGAGCAAGAUCAAGUAGCCUAGUGUGGUCCGCAUGUUAUAAUGGCUGGUAGAUUGCUAAAAUUAAGUUGUGAAGCUUAAUUAAGAUGAAUGAUUAUCUGAGAAACAGAAUUCGGCUUAUAAACUGAUUUUAAAU
This 334-nucleotide RNase P RNA is filed under the name Fidelibacterota bacterium. Its description in RNAcentral is "RNase P RNA component class A". It matches the Rfam family "Bacterial RNase P class A". Rfam says of the family: Ribonuclease P (RNase P) is a ubiquitous endoribonuclease, found in archaea, bacteria and eukarya as well as chloroplasts and mitochondria. Its best characterised activity is the generation of mature 5'-ends of tRNAs by cleaving the 5'-leader elements of precursor-tRNAs. The record is from RNAcentral. Lineage: Bacteria; Pseudomonadati; Fidelibacterota.